This 1612-nucleotide ribosomal RNA is filed under the name Escherichia coli. Its description in RNAcentral is "partial 23S ribosomal RNA". It matches the Rfam family "Bacterial large subunit ribosomal RNA", at positions 570 to 2167 of the family's 2925-position model. Lineage: Bacteria; Pseudomonadati; Pseudomonadota; Gammaproteobacteria; Enterobacterales; Enterobacteriaceae. The record is from RNAcentral.
GCAGUGGGAGCCUCUUUAUGGGGUGACUGCGUACCUUUUGUAUAAUGGGUCAGCGACUUAUAUUCUGUAGCAAGGUUAACCGAAUAGGGGAGCCGAAGGGAAACCGAGUCUUAACUGGGCGUUAAGUUGCAGGGUAUAGACCCGAAACCCGGUGAUCUAGCCAUGGGCAGGUUGAAGGUUGGGUAACACUAACUGGAGGACCGAACCGACUAAUGUUGAAAAAUUAGCGGAUGACUUGUGGCUGGGGGUGAAAGGCCAAUCAAACCGGGAGAUAGCUGGUUCUCCCCGAAAGCUAUUUAGGUAGCGCCUCGUGAAUUCAUCUCCGGGGGUAGAGCACUGUUUCGGCAAGGGGGUCAUCCCGACUUACCAACCCGAUGCAAACUGCGAAUACCGGAGAAUGUUAUCACGGGAGACACACGGCGGGUGCUAACGUCCGUCGUGAAGAGGGAAACAACCCAGACCGCCAGCUAAGGUCCCAAAGUCAUGGUUAAGUGGGAAACGAUGUGGGAAGGCCCAGACAGCCAGGAUGUUGGCUUAGAAGCAGCCAUCAUUUAAAGAAAGCGUAAUAGCUCACUGGUCGAGUCGGCCUGCGCGGAAGAUGUAACGGGGCUAAACCAUGCACCGAAGCUGCGGCAGCGACACUAUGUGUUGUUGGGUAGGGGAGCGUUCUGUAAGCCUGUGAAGGUGUACUGUGAGGUAUGCUGGAGGUAUCAGAAGUGCGAAUGCUGACAUAAGUAACGAUAAAGCGGGUGAAAAGCCCGCUCGCCGGAAGACCAAGGGUUCCUGUCCAACGUUAAUCGGGGCAGGGUGAGUCGACCCCUAAGGCGAGGCCGAAAGGCGUAGUCGAUGGGAAACAGGUUAAUAUUCCUGUACUUGGUGUUACUGCGAAGGGGGGACGGAGAAGGCUAUGUUGGCCGGGCGACGGUUGUCCCGGUUUAAGCGUGUAGGCUGGUUUUCCAGGCAAAUCCGGAAAAUCAAGGCUGAGGCGUGAUGACGAGGCACUACGGUGCUGAAGCAACAAAUGCCCUGCUUCCAGGAAAAGCCUCUAAGCAUCAGGUAACAUCAAAUCGUACCCCAAACCGACACAGGUGGUCAGGUAGAGAAUACCAAGGCGCUUGAGAGAACUCGGGUGAAGGAACUAGGCAAAAUGGUGCCGUAACUUCGGGAGAAGGCACGCUGAUAUGUAGGUGAAGUCCCUCGCGGAUGGAGCUGAAAUCAGUCGAAGAUACCAGCUGGCUGCAACUGUUUAUUAAAAACACAGCACUGUGCAAACACGAAAGUGGACGUAUACGGUGUGACGCCUGCCCGGUGCCGGAAGGUUAAUUGAUGGGGUUAGCGGUAACGCGAAGCUCUUGAUCGAAGCCCCGGUAAACGGCGGCCGUAACUAUAACGGUCCUAAGGUAGCGAAAUUCCUUGUCGGGUAAGUUCCGACCUGCACGAAUGGCGUAAUGAUGGCCAGGCUGUCUCCACCCGAGACUCAGUGAAAUUGAACUCGCUGUGAAGAUGCAGUGUACCCGCGGCAAGACGGAAAGACCCCGUGAACCUUUACUAUAGCUUGACACUGAACAUUGAGCCUUGAUGUGUAGGAUAGGUGGGAGGCUUUGAAGUGUGG